CCCCCUUCUAGAUCUAUUGUGCCUACUGGGAACUAACAAUUGGUAUCAAAGCAGGUUCUCAUGCUAUAUUCAAAAGCUAAUCGCUUUGAGUCUGAUCCCAGGCACAAACAUUGUUCUAAACUUAGUUUAGUAGUAAGUAACUUGUUAUAUGCAGAUGAGCUCACACGUUGGAAAUACUGUGUAUAGGUAAAUGUGUAUAUACACCUGAAGCUGCUCAGAUUGGUC
RNAcentral lists this long non-coding RNA (225 nucleotides) under Panax ginseng (ginseng). RNAcentral describes it as "long non-coding RNA (PGIN_LNC019247)". Lineage: Eukaryota; Viridiplantae; Streptophyta; Magnoliopsida; Apiales; Araliaceae. The record is from RNAcentral.